GACGAACGCUGGCGGCGUGCUUAACACAUGCAAGUCGAGCGAGAGCCAGCUGAGGGGUAACCCUCGGCUGGGGACAGCGGCGAACGGGUGCGUAACACGUGGGCAACCUGCCCCUGACACUGGGAUAACCCCGGGAAACCGGAGCUAAUACCGGAUACUCUCGGCCGAUCACAUGGCUGGCCGAGGAAAGGUCCGCCGGUCAGGGAUGGGCCCGCGGCCUAUCAGCUUGUUGGUGAGGUAACGGCCCACCAAGGCGACGACGGGUAGCUGGUCUGAGAGGACGACCAGCCACACUGGAACUGAGAUACGGUCCAGACUCCUACGGGAGGCAGCAGUGGGGAAGUAUUGCACAAUGGGCGAAAGCCUGAUGCAGCGACGCCGCGUGAGGGA
RNAcentral lists this ribosomal RNA (390 nucleotides) under uncultured bacterium. RNAcentral describes it as "bacterial SSU rRNA". It matches the Rfam family "Bacterial small subunit ribosomal RNA", at positions 28 to 408 of the family's 1533-position model. The record is from RNAcentral.